GAUGAACGCUGGCGGCGUGCCUAAUACAUGCAAGUCGAGCGAACAGACGAGGAGCUUGCUCCUCUGACGUUAGCGGCGGACGGGUGAGUAACACGUGGAUAACCUACCUAUAAGACUGGGAUAACUUCGGGAAACCGGAGCUAAUACCGGAUAAUAUAUUGAACCGCAUGGUUCAAUAGUGAAAGACGGUUUUGCUGUCACUUAUAGAUGGAUCCGCGCCGCAUUAGCUAGUUGGUAAGGUAACGGCUUACCAAGGCAACGAUGCGUAGCCGAACUGAGAGGGUGAUCGGCCACACUGGAACUGAGACGCGGUCCAGACUCCUACGGGAGGCAGCAGUAGGGAAUCUUCCGCAAUGGGCGAAAGCCUGACGGAGCAACGCCGCGUGAGUGAUGAAGGUCUUCGGAUCGUAAAACUCUGUUAUUAGGGAAGAACAAAUGUGUAAGUAACUAUGCACGUCUUGACGGUACCUAAUCAGAAAGCCACGGCUAACUACGUG
This 497-nucleotide ribosomal RNA is filed under the name uncultured bacterium. RNAcentral describes it as "partial 16S ribosomal RNA". It matches the Rfam family "Bacterial small subunit ribosomal RNA", at positions 28 to 507 of the family's 1533-position model. The record is from RNAcentral.